UCAGUAGCUAGAAAAUCAGAAAACUAAUCACUGUAUUAAGCAAGUCACACACGGGGAUAGAUCCAAUAAUAUGUUUUCUUCGGCUACAUCCACAAGUAUGAGUAUUUUUUUUUAAUAUACUACUUCCGUUAUAUAUUAGUUGUAACUUUUAGGUGUUAUUUGUGAUACACAAAAUAUUCUAAAGUUACAGCUAACAAAUAACGGAGGUAGUAUUAUUAUAAUAAUAUUUACUCUAUAGAAACUUACUAUCUUUAUAUUUUUCGUUCCAGGUAUUCUUAAAUCCUAAGAUACAUCUACUAUGUUUAAUUUUUUAUUAUUUGCAACAAAAAAAUAUUAUAAAUCUAAUAAAUAAUAUUUCUUUGAUGCAAAUAAUAAGAAACAAAGAUAGAAAUUUCUUCUGGUCCAAAGUUAUCUUCAGUUUCCGGUUGUGACUUGUGAGGGGCAUCCUUGACAAAGAAGGCGGAAAGAAGGCGAGAUGAGUUUCUGUUGUUACGCCGUGAGCGUUGUGGCCGAGUAGACGGUGGUGGUGGUGAUGAUGAUCCAAGGAUCAGAGAAGCCACGGGUGUAGUAACCCGCUGAUUUAUCACCGUAACAGCCCCAUAUUGUCUGCUGCCAAAUUCAUUAUUAUCUGCCAUUGCCCAGCAGCUCAUUUUCCGUUUAACACCUCUCGACCUGGAUGUACCGGGUUUCGCAGCUUGCAAGUCAAGGAUCGCUCGUGCCGCAUGUAAAGGCUUCACCAUGUUUUAACUAUGUUUUCAUGAGUGUAUUUCUGGCUUGAGGUAAUUUUGAGUACAUAUUCCGGAUCGGAAAUCAAAUGCUAGCUCAGAUAGUCAUCUACAUGAUGAUUCUAGAUACGAGAAUGUUUUGAGUGAAAAUAAGUAGUAGUUUUUAAAUAACUUAUACAAGUAAUACUCCGCAUUAUGGUUUCAAUCA
Molecule: long non-coding RNA, 933 nt
Organism: Chenopodium quinoa (quinoa)
Lineage: Eukaryota; Viridiplantae; Streptophyta; Magnoliopsida; Caryophyllales; Amaranthaceae
Exons: 2
Source: RefSeq, a predicted model, not a curated record